Molecule: long non-coding RNA, 8163 nt
Filed under: Triticum aestivum (bread wheat)
Lineage: Eukaryota; Viridiplantae; Streptophyta; Magnoliopsida; Poales; Poaceae
Description: long non-coding RNA (TAES_LNC003282)
Source: RNAcentral
CCAUGUAAUACAUAAGGGAAAGAGAUACAUAGUUGGCUUACAAUCGCCACUUCACACAAUUACAUGAAUAAAGCAUUACAUCAUCCAGAUACAAUCAAGGUCCGACUACGGAACCAAACUAAAAGAACAACCCCAAAUGCGACAAAGGUCCCCGAUCGACCCCAACUGGGCUCCACUCCUGAUCAACUAGAACGAAACAACACAAAGGGAAAGAUCUUCAUCGAGCUCCUCCUUGAGCUUGGUUGCGUCACCUGCUCGGUAACAUAGGCACCUGCAAACUGGUUUUGGUAGUAUCUGUGAGUCACGGGGACUCAGCAAUCUCGCACCCGCGAGAUCAAGACUAUUUAAGCUUAUAGGAAGGAUGGAGUAAUGAGGUGGAGCUGCAGCAAGCAACUAGCAUAUAUGGUGGCUACAAUCGCAAAAGAGAGCGAGAAGAGAAGCUAGGCACGGUCGUGAAGCUAGUAGCGAUCAAGAAGUGAUCCUAGAGCAACCUACGUCAAACAUAACUCCAACACCGUGUUCACUUCCCGGACUCCACCGAGAAGAGACCAUCACGGUUACACACGCGGUUGAUGUAUUUUAAAUAAGGUCAACUUCGGGUUUUCUACAACCGGACGUUAACAAAUUCCCAUCUGCCACAUAACCGCAGGCACGGCUUUCGAAAGAUAAUACCCUGCAGGGGUGUCCCAACUUAGCCCAUACAAGCUCUCACGGUCAAUGAAGGAAUAGACCUCCACCCGAGACGUUCCGAUCAGACUCGGUAUCCCGGUACAACAAGACAUUUCGACAGGGUAAAACUAAACCAGCAACACCGCCCGAAUGUGCCGACAAAUCCCGAUAGGAGCUGCACAUAUCUCUUUCUCAGGGCACACUCAGAUGAGACUAGCUACGAGUAAAACCAACCCUCAAGUUUCCCCGAGGUGGCCCCGCAGGCAGCUCAGUUCGGACCAACACUCAGAGGAGCACUGGCCCGGGGGGGUUAGAAUAAAGAUGACCCUUGAGUCUGCAGAACCCAAGGGAAGGUGGUAGGUUGUUAGUGCAAAUGGUAAAACCAAUGUUGGGCAUUGCUGGAGGAGCUUUACUUAAGGCGAACUGUCAAGGGGUUCCCAUUAUAGCCCAACCGUGUAAGGAACGCAAAAUCCGGGAACAUAACACCGAUAUGACGGAAACUAGGGCGGCAAGAGUGGAACAAAACACCAGGCAUAAGGCCGAGCCUUCCACCCUUUACCAAGUAUAUAGAUGCAUUAAUUAAGUAAGAUAUAUUGUGAUAUCCCAACAAGUAAACAUGUUCCAACAAGGAACAACAUCUCCAUGUUCCAACAAGGAGCAAACUUCAAUCUUCACCUGCAACUAACAACGCUAUAAGAGGGGCUGAGCAAAGCGGUAACAUAGCCAAUCAACGAUUUGCUAGGACAUGGUGGGUUAGAGGUUUGACAUGGCAAUUUGGGAGGCUGACAAACAAAUGGUAGGCAUCGCAGCAUUGGCAUGGCAAAAGAGCGAGCGAACUAGCAUAGCAAAGAUAGUAGUGAUUUCGAGGGUAUGAUCAUCUUGCCUGAAAUCCCGCAAGGAAGAAGAACGAAUCCAAGAAGAAGAAAAACGGUCGUAGACGAACAAAUCCUCACAACUCCGGAACGAAACCGAAGCUAACGAGAGAAGCAACCCGGAAAGAAACAAACAACAUAGUAAACACACAAGCAUAAACAAGUCAUGAUGCACAAACAAGUAUGAUGCAUGUCCGGUUUAAUGAGGCAUGGCAUGGCAAAGUGCAACAAACAAUACUACAAGUUAAGUGGAGCUCAAUAUGCAACGAGGUGCAUGUUGACGGAACACCACAUCAAUCAUUUAGUUAUCUCUCGUUUAAGCCACCCAACAAUAUUAACUGUUGUUAAACAUGGCAAGAGGUGAAGCAUAAUAUAAACUAUACCAUCUAAACAAUUUAAAUGGGGCCGAAUAUAAAAACAACAAAUCCGGUAAAUCCCCAUAUGCAUUUAGCAAUUUAAUGCAACAACAAGUUUAAACAUUUUAAAAUGUUGUUAUCAUGAUGCGGAUGACAUAUACAAGUUUUAUGCAAUUUUAUGAAAAGGUUGACAAGAGCAUUAAGAAGCAUUCGGUCACCAUGCGGAACAAAAAGGGUGCCACGGCGACGAAUCCGAAAAUGAUGCCACGGCAACAUUCCGGUCCCGGUAACUCAUGGAGGUACCGGUGCAAAAGGAGGCAUGCGGAUGUGCGGAACAUGCUAGAGAUGGUGGGGUGAUCCCGGCUUCCGGGUUCCCACGGGACGGUGGCACGGCAAAAGAGGGGCAUCGCAAGGAUCGAUCACGGUGCAAAACUCGAGCAUCUCAUACAACACAUGCAUUCGGUCCACGGACGGCGUCUCGGGGUUAUACCUUCGAAGCGUGCGUUUUUGGAGCGGUUCGAGUCGGAGGGGAAGUAGUCGUUCUCGCGAUGGUAGAGGUUCACGUUUCGUAGUCGUUCGAGCCAUCGGUAGCGGUACUUGAUGAAUCCCGAAACGAACUUGGCGUCUUCGUGCGUAGGGGUACUUGGCGUUUCCGGAGACGACGGUAGAGGUACUUGACGCGUCGUUGUGGUACUUGGCAAAAAUCAUAGAGAAGAUGCUUGGCGGUCCUGGGAUGGUCUUGGCGUCCAUGUAGUCGAUCUUGCAGAUCUUGACGGUCCAACACAAAACAUCACAAGGGGCCUCGUGAGCGAUGACGAUGCUGAGCAGGAACUUGGGCGAACUGCAUUGGCCGAAACGGAAGGUGGAGGUCGGCUUGUAGCAGAGGAACGGCAGGAGCAGGGGAGCUCCAGCAGGGACCGAGGCGCGGCAGGGGAGGACCCUGGCGAGGCACAGCCAGGUCCGGUGGUGGCGGCAGUAGGCUCUAGUGGUGGCGAAAGGGCGCGACGACGAUGGGGCCCCUGGUCGCCGUAGAGGAAGCAGAGGAAGGCGCGGGUCCGGCGACGAUGGAGAACGGCAGGAUGCGGCGAGGAGGAGGCCGCAGGUGAGGGAGGAGGUUGGGCACGCGACGCAUGGUGGUGGAGGCGAGAUCCGGGCGCGGGGUUCCGUUCCCGACGCCGGAAUGGAGGGGGGCGCACCGGCGAGGAGAGGACGGCGGCUUGACGCGGCUCCGGCGACGGGGCGUGAUGCAGGGGACUCGGGCAGGGGGUUGAAGAAGACGACGCGAGGCAGGGGCGUCGGAGUUGGACUCCAGUUACGGCGCAGGAGGCCCGACGCGGCGCUCGGAGGAGAGGGGCGGCACGCGGCCAUGGCAGGGAGGCGAUGGUUGCGGGUGCACGAGGAGAAGGGAGGAAGAGCAUCUCAGGCGCUCGGGGUCGAGCUCGCACGCGAGGCCCUCCGGCUCGAGGAGCUGGGGAAUCGGGCGCGGGGACUCCUCCCUGGUGUGUUGCGUGUGUGGUGACGGCGUGAGGGAGGAGACGAGGGAGAGUGGGGGAUCGGGCGCUGCGGCUAGGGUUAGAGGGGCACCGGCUGGGCCUUGGGCUGGCUUAGGUUGGCCGGGCCUAAGAGGCCGGCUGGGCUGCAAGGCUCUCUUCUCCCUCUCUAAAGAAAAUAAAAACAAAACAGAGAUAGGAAAGAAAAGAAAGAGGGGUUAGGGGAAGAAGUAGGACAUGGGGAUAAUUUUUCCGGACUCGCAAAAAUGAGUUUGUUCCGAGAAAAAUAGAAAGGCCAUGAUUGAAAGAUUAAAUUCAAACUCAUUUGAUUUAAAUUCAAAUGAUUUGAAUAGGAAGUGAGGUUUGGGAAGGUCCAAAAAUGUUUGGAUUUUUGGUGGAGCUCCGGAAUAUGAUGAAAUAAAUAUUGGCAAGGUUGGAGACCAAACUUGAAGUAGAAAAGGAACGAAAUUAUUUUGUAAGUGUGUUUUGGUGAUUCCAAAAUAGUGGAAUAUUUAAUAUAGCUCCCUAAUAUUGGAGGAUAUGUUAUAAAGAGAAGUCACCAUGUGAGUCCCUCGAUUUAAAUGGAUCGGAAAAUCCAUACAAUUUAUUUAGUUGAGGUUUUAAAAAUUAAUGAUAUGAUGGCAUGAUGACAUGAUGCAAUGCACAUGAUGCAAGGAUGAAUGCAACAAAUAAAACAAAUCACACGACGAAACUCGGAAUAGCUGGAAGUCUUCUGGAGCGUCGGUCUCGGGGCGUUACAACACUCCACCACUACAAGAGGAUCUCGUCCCGAGAUCUAGGAUGGCACCGAAGAGAAACGGAAGAGGAAGAGAAGAGGUAAAACUAAGUUGCUUCUUUGACAAACAAGUGAAACCACGAACCUUGAGAGGUUGAGCAAUUUAAAAGAAAGAGUACAACAGAGAUGAACGAGAUUGCAAACAAUCCGUUAGAAAAGAGGAACAAGGAACAUUACGAGGACUUGAAGGUUGCAAAGCUAUGAAUGACGAGUACAAUGGACAAGAAGGAAUUGAAAUCACUCUGGUUGAAAUGAGAUAAACAAGGAACAAGGAAGAUCAAAAUCGGACAACACUCCGGUUGAAAAGAGAUGCAAGACUUGAUAAGAUGAAAAAGAACUUGAAAGAAAAAGGCAGGACACUCUGGUUAAAUGGAUAAGCAUGAAAAGAACAUGAUCCUGACAAAACAAGAUGAUGAUUGAAGAGCACAACAUCACAAUGCCUCCGAAACAAAAGAAUAGAAGAUAGAUCAUUGGAAUAACAGAAUGGAGAAGAAAAUGCCAACUUCUGCCACAAAUGAGUUUGGAAAGCAUCCUUGCAAAGAAGAAUUGAACGGAGUUGUUGGAAAAUCAACAACGAAAAGCACAAGCUUGUAGUGGGCUUAUGGAAAACAUCUCAAAAUUAUGAGGUGACAACCGGCCACUAACGGAAACAAUUUCUUGCUUGAGAUCAACGAAGAGAUGAAAACUUCUUCCACCAAGAUGAUAAAGAGAUAACUUGGAUCAUUAGCAAGCACCAGAAAUAGCAACAUUCCCAAUGGAAGGCUUUUAGGUGAAAUAUGACACAAGAUAACUCCAACAACGAGGUUGAUGGAUUUAAAAAUAACUCAUUCUUAACAACAUGUGAAUCAUGGAACAUGAACUCAAAUUAUCAAGAAUGACAUAAUACCACCUCCAAAAUAUGGUAGAAAGAAUUGCACUCUGGAUUACCAUAUGAAGAAAGCUUGAGCUCCUUAGGAAAGAAUCUCGAUGAAAACUUUGAGAAGGGAAUUAAAUCCUUGAUGAACCAUCAUGUAGAACCUCCAUGAAGAACUCCGGUAAACAAAAGGAAUGAAAAGAAAGAGAAAUUGAAAACACAAGGUGAAUCCUUGCAAUGAUUUAGAUGGAUCUCCGUGAUAAUUAGAGCUUGGAACUCCGGGAAAAAGAGAAGAUGAAACAAAUGAAACCGAGAAUUUUAAGGGCCUCCGGAAUAAAGAAUUAAUCACUUGGAUGAACAAGAAUAAGAAUUAUGUUAUGCUUAUCCUUCACCAAUUAAAUUGAUGACAAUCAACGGAUUUGGCAUACUACUUAUUCUCGUAGAAAGGAUUAAAAGGGAUAUAGCGUAAACUUGAGAAGGUCUUCAACGAACCACCGGUAGGAUUGGAACAACAAAUGAAUUGAUAUGAUGAACAAGGAAGAGAGAUCUUGAAAGAACCACCGUAAGAAUUGAAAAUGAUCGAAGUAGGGGUGCAUCACCGGUAAGAAUUAGCAAAUGAACAAAGGUGCUUGAGACAAACUAGAUACAUGAGAACAAAGAGAUCAAGAACUGAUUAGAGGAUAUUCGAUAGAUGCACCGGCAAGAUAGGAGAAUGAUAACUGACGGCUGAGAAUGAAUAAACCUGAAUUGAUGGACUCCGGAUGACAAAUUGAGAAGACUCUUGAAUAUCUCCUGAUGGGUGAAAAAGAUUCUCACAAUCGAAAACAAUUAUGAGAGGAUGACAACAAGCUAGCACCAUGAAUCUUGAAGAGAAUAGAGCAAGAUUAAAGAGAAACUCUUCUUCGGUCUUCAAAUGAUGAGAAUGACAACGAGAAACACCACCAAGAAUUAUUGAGGCACACCGGAAGAAUCAAAAGCGAAGAGGUUGAGCCAACUAUGAAAAGAAUUUGAAAGAUCUUGGAGAAAAGCAUUUGACUAAUGAUAACUCAUUCUUACGUCAAACUUGGAGAAGAAUUUAAGAGUAACGCCGGGAAAAUAAGAAGAGUCAGGUAAGAUCCUGGAAAAAGACCUGUGGGUUAGGGCCCACUCAAAAGAAACACCGUUGAACAAUUUGAAGAGAGAUAAUGCACCGGUUGAAAUAAAAGACUUGAAUGAGAGAACAUCCUCGAAAGAUCUUGAACGAAUGCAUAGUGGAAACACGAAUCUUCAAGAUAUCUCCAACACUCUGGAACAAAUGAAUAGCAAGAGGUGAGUGAUGGAGAGGUGCACCGGUAUGAGAAAGCAUUUGACACGAGGAGAGGAAUAAGAUCAACACUGAAAGCUUGAAUUGGAUCCACCGGAGAAGCAAAAAAAACGGAGGAUGAUGAACUUGAAACUCUUGAGCAUCUUCAUGGGAAAUCACCGGAUAAGAACAUUGACGGAAAAUAAUGGAGAAACUUCCCAUCAAUAAAAUGGAUACUUGAAGAAGAAAUCUUAGUCCUUGAAGAAAAACAAAAGGGAGGGAGGGUGGGAAAAACAAAGGCAACUUGGAGACGGAUGAAACAAACACCGUUGAGAAGAAGGGAUAAAUGAUCUUGCAAAUGUUGACGUGAACGGAUCCACUUGAGGAGAGACACACCGGUUAAAAAAAAGGAUUGACAAGACAGACUCGAUGAUCAAGAAGGAUUAGUAUUCACAUAGGAAUAUGAGAACACCAUUUGGAAAAGGUAUGGAAUUAACAUUUGACUUCGAAGCAACUCGAAUACCACAAAUAAAACAAAACAAAAGAUUGGCUUGCAAAAUAAGCCGGAACAAACAUAUGAUAGAGAUUUCGUCCGAAGUUUUUGUGGUGGGGCCUACACGGGCUCGAUCGUACAGCACCAUCAUGUACAAGGCAGUGCACAUGACAUACGAAGCGUCCCCGAGUCGGCAUAGCCAAGGACUCUUUAAGACACAACGAGACCACUGUAAAAAACGACCGUGGAUAGGCGGACCACUAGACGUCGAACCCCAAUUUCAUAUCAUACAUCCGUCAGAAAGAUAUCCUAAGAGCUACUUGAAUUCCCACCUAUGAAACUCCCGAAAUUUUCCGGUUAUGCAAUCAGGUGUUGGGGAUACAGGGGAAGCAUAAUAUCUCACCCAAAACUAGCAAAUCCUACAUCCAGCUGUAUCCAUCCUUCAACACAUAACCAAGAAACCUUCGGAAAUCGUCUACCUCAACCUUCGAAAAGCAUCCAUUAUACAAGUUAUGGCAAUACUCCCGUACUCACCUCAGUACUGGGUUAUCGGGGUUAUCUCACCAACAACUGCAUAAAAGAGAUUUUCGAUGUCGGCGUACUAAACUCAGGUAUUCCAGAACUGCAACGAUAAAAUUAUGACGACAACACCUCAGAGCUCGACUCCCCGGGACACUUCCACUAAACUCCUGACAGGAGGCACCAAGACAAUGUUCUCAUCAUAAAACCAUCGGAACGAUUCCAAGAUACCCGCGUGAUCCUAAAAAAAAAUUAGUGAAAUUUGAGAAGAGAAGAGUCAAAACUCUACGUCAGGAUGCCUUACCAGAGCGAUGAAGAGCCUGGGGAGUAAAAAGAAUUCCUAACUCUCCGAUAUAUAUAAUCCUAAAUGACUCAAAACAUUUUUUCUAGACACAACUCGGCCGCUAAAAACGAUCAAGCAGUGGGGCUCCUAAGGUCGGGGAAGGCUCUGAUACCAACUUGUAACGCCCUCGAUGCAGCUAUAUCUCCCACGUGUCGAAGCACGACUUAGAGGCAUAACCGCAUUGAAAGCAAUGUCGCAAGUGAGGUAAUCUUCACACAACCCAUGUAAUACAUAAGGGAAAGAGAUACAUAGUUGGCUUACAAUCGCCACUUCACACAAUUACAUGAAUAAAGCAUUACAUCAUCCAGAUACAAUCAAGGUCCGACUACGGAACCAAAAUAAAAGAACAACCCCAAAUGCGACAAAGGUCCCCGAUCGACCCCAACUGGGCUCCACUGCUGAUCAACUAGAACGAAACAACACAAAGGGCAAGAUCUUCAUCGAGCUCCUCCUUGAGCUUGGUUGCGUCACCUGCUCGGUAACAUAGGCA